UUACGAUCAAAUCACGCUGAAACACCGGUUCUCGUACGAUCACCGAAGUUAAGCAUCGUAGAGCCAGGUCAGAUGGGGGACCGCUUGGGAACACCUGGUACUGUAAG
Acanthosepion pharaonis is the source of this 107-nucleotide non-coding RNA. The record is from the annotation of a GenBank genome assembly. Lineage: Eukaryota; Metazoa; Mollusca; Cephalopoda; Sepiida; Sepiidae.